AGGGGUUAUAUGUGCUGCUGGUGGGCCUUAGGUAGUAUUAGCUUUACGAUCUAGUCUCUCACAAAUUUUGCUGGCUGUUUUUGCACCUUUCCAGACGGCACUGCGCACCGUGUUAGAAUUGAGUUGACCGGCGAAUGCCCUGAUUCGGCCUCAGUCCUCUCCUAGAUCUAUUGCGGUCAGUCGUGUCCGUAGCUGGCUCGUUCAGCCCUUUGUCCCUCAUCGCUGGUUGGAGACCUCAUCAGACAUCAAGUUACAUGUGCAAGCAAACUAAUUAGCUGGACUGGACUUCCUUCAGUGGCAGAGGAGCACACAAUGGUGAAUAAAGUGACACGUGGGGUGGUUCCCACAGGUGGCAGCAAGGCAGAUCAUCUCCCUCAGUCGGAAACACUAAUCCAUGUUACAUUGGUUCUGCAGCAUCCUUCUUCAAGCAGAUAAUGUAGAUUACAUGAUUUAAGAGAUACAGAAGCACUCGCUCCUCCAAUCCACAGACCACUUCCACUAAGGAACUAACUCUUAAUCGUCUCUUGACCGUUUGACUGCCUGUGACCCUGUACCUUUUGAUUUCUGGAACUGAGGGUGCCAUGAUAAACAGUCUGCCAUAUUGAAUACCAGACCUCGUGGGAGAAGUGUGGAAGGACAAGUAAUGCUGCCUAGCAGGAUUCUGGCGAACCCUCUCUGAAUUUAUAAAAGGGCAUGAACACUGUGGAUCGGCCUUAGACACUUAACAUCUUCCAGACGAGCAAGAUUGUCCCGCUCCUUCUUGACCUACUGAUUCCAUUCAGAGACAGCUGCUGCUAGCCUAUAUAACAGUACUGUUAAUUAAAUUUCCCACCCCAUCAGUGUCCUGAGGAACACGGACUCCAAUCUCCAGCCAGGCUGCAAUUGAGCCACUAAGGACUCUGGAUUCCCGCAUCAUGUUGCUCCGGGAUUCUUCCCCUACUUUGUGUCUCCUAUGUGCCACAUGUCUGGACAAGCCGACCACCUGUUCAUCUACUUCAAGAUCUAAUCCAUUACUGAUUACUAUUUGUGUUACGAGGCCCUUACAUCCCUUCUAAAGUCUCUCGUUGGACGAGUGGAUUUCAUGCUCGGCUACCAAUCCGGUGGUAAGAAGUUUGAUUCUCGGCUCGGUCAACUCAGAACCAGAGGAAUGUAUUUCUGGUGAUGGAAAUUCAUUUCUCAAUAUAAUGUGGUUCGAAUCCCACCAUAAGCUGUAGGUCCCGUUCUUAGGUAGACCAACUGGUUCCUAGCCACAUAAAAAUAUCUAACCCUUU
Long non-coding RNA from Macrobrachium nipponense, 1271 nucleotides. RefSeq lists it as uncharacterized. The record is from RefSeq and is a predicted model, not a curated record. Lineage: Eukaryota; Metazoa; Arthropoda; Malacostraca; Decapoda; Palaemonidae. The transcript has 5 exons.